This 480-nucleotide ribosomal RNA is filed under the name bacterium. RNAcentral describes it as "bacterial SSU rRNA". It matches the Rfam family "Bacterial small subunit ribosomal RNA", at positions 1 to 521 of the family's 1533-position model. The record is from RNAcentral.
UUUUUUGAGAGUUUGAUCCUGGCUCAGGAUGAACGCUGGCGGUGUGCCUUAAGCAUGCAAGUCGAACGGGUCCCGCAAGGGACCAGUGGCAGACGGGUGAGUAACACGUAGGAAUCUACCUCGUUGUGGGGGAUAGCUCGCCGAAAGGCGGGGUAAUACCGCAUACGCCCGAAAGGGGAAAGUCGCAAGACGCGAUGAGAGGGGCCUGCGCGCUAUCAGCUAGUUGGUGGGGUAACGGCCUACCAAGGCUACGACGGCUAGCCGGUGUGAGAGCAUGACCGGCCACAAGGUAACUGAGACACGGUGCCUACACCUACGGGUGGCAGCAACUGGGAAUCUUGCGCAAUGGGCGAAAGCCUGACGCAGCGACACCGCGUGUGGGAAUAAGGCCUUAGGGUCGUAAACCACUGUGGCGAGGGAUGAAUAAAUGACCGUACCUCGCUAGAAAGCACCUGCUAACCACGUGCCAGAAGCCUCGGU